Molecule: ribosomal RNA, 312 nt
Filed under: Escherichia coli
Lineage: Bacteria; Pseudomonadati; Pseudomonadota; Gammaproteobacteria; Enterobacterales; Enterobacteriaceae
Description: partial 23S ribosomal RNA
Rfam family: Bacterial large subunit ribosomal RNA
Source: RNAcentral
UGUGAGCUCGAUGAGUAGGGCGGGACACGUGGUAUCCUGUCUGAAUAUGGGGGGACCAUCCUCCAAGGCUAAAUACUCCUGACUGACCGAUAGUGAACCAGUACCGUGAGGGAAAGGCGAAAAGAACCCCGGCGAGGGGAGUGAAAAAGAACCUGAAACCGUGUACGUACAAGCAGUGGGAGCCUCUUAAUGGGGUGACUGCGUACCUUUUGUAUAAUGGGUCAGCGACUUAUAUUCUGUAGCAAGGUUAACCGAAUAGGGGAGCCGAAGGGAAACCGAGUCUUAACUGGGCGUUAAGUUGCAGGGUAUAGA